GACAAAGAGCAAAGUGAUUUACAUUUCGGGUGGGAACUUUGGACAGGAAAAAAAAGAGAGGGAGAGAGAAAUAUGACUGGCAUUUACACCCUAGAUCCUGGCACCCUAUCAACAACCAACGCUGCAUCAACAGCUAAUAUUAUCCUGAGCCUGGAGACUUCACAGCAGCAGUGCUAGACGAUCGAGACUGUGGGCAGCUGUGUUGUGAGCAGGAAUGUGAACGGAGGCGUAGAUGUGUAUCUGACCAGUGCAGUCACCUGUGACGGUGUCUCUAGGACUCUCAUUCAUUCCAAACAAACAGACUCCUGUCCCUGUAAACUCAGGAUGUGGGGACCCCCACCUUGCUCCGCUGUGACCCCAGCGUUCUGGUCAACCCCCACCCCCUGCGUGCAUCCUGUCAGUGGGCUUGUCGGCAUGCUGGGCAGCGCCCCGAGCCUGGAGCCAGGAGAGAUGGGAGAGCCUCCACUACACUAUGGUACACACACAACAACCAAUAACCCCCGCCCCCCCCCACCAUCUCUGCCUGCUUCCUCUACUCAAUUGCUCAUGUCCAACUCGACCCAAGGAGAAAAAAGGACGAGAGAGGGGUAUGGAGAGAGAGAGAGAGAGAGAGAGAGAGAGAGACAGAGAGAGACAGAAAGAGGAGGAAGAAGAGAUAAGAAAUGGAAUACUGGGGGGGAGGGAUAGGGGUGUAAGAGUGGAGGAGAGGGCAGAAUAGAGAACAUGACAGACAGGGAAAGUGACAGACAAAGAGAUAAAGAGACAAAGUGAAAAUAAGAGAAAGGGAGAGAGAUAGAGAGAGAGAGUGUGUGAGUGUGUGUGUGUGUGUGUGUGUGUGUGUGUGUGUGUGUGUGUGUGUGUGUGUAUUGUGUGGGUUGCAUAUGGAGCUGACGCCCUCAUCCUGAGUUCCGAGCAUGUUCUUUUUUAACAUUCCAUUCUCCCCCCCACACCCUCCACCUCCCCACUCCCCUUCCACCAGCAGCAGCAGCAGCAGCAGCAGCAGCAGCACAACCAUGACCACGCCAAGCGCUGCUUCCUGCUUCACACCCAGGGCCGCCGGACCACCCUCCCCACCCUAACCCGCGCCUCGAGGGCCAGUCCCGUCCGGCCGGCCCAGACUCCGGGACUCCUGGAGAAUCACCUUCCACUCUCCACUCCCCUGCGGCUCUGUGGCAGAGGUGGGCAGGCGCGAGGGGACAGGACAGGACACGACAGGACAGGUCAGGUCAG
This is a long non-coding RNA of Alosa alosa (allis shad), 1230 nucleotides long. RefSeq lists it as uncharacterized. The record is from RefSeq and is a predicted model, not a curated record. Lineage: Eukaryota; Metazoa; Chordata; Actinopteri; Clupeiformes; Clupeidae. The transcript is spliced from 3 exons.